Molecule: long non-coding RNA, 493 nt
Organism: Spinacia oleracea (spinach)
Lineage: Eukaryota; Viridiplantae; Streptophyta; Magnoliopsida; Caryophyllales; Amaranthaceae
Exons: 3
Source: RefSeq, a predicted model, not a curated record
UGUUAACUCUCAAAAAUUCCUCUGCCGUCAUCAACAUCUCACCACCAUCUUAACCCUUACCGUAGGGUCAUCGAUCACCAUUAUCAUUGCUAAAAGCUGCAACCCAAUUCCUUUCUCUACAAACUCUCGCUAACAUCAGACCCGUCUUGCUAAUUGGUUCGUGUUUUUCCUGAUUCUUUUGGGCGAAAGUAACGUAGAGAUCAUGGAAGGAUAUUCGAAGUACGGAUUACGCGCACUUAAGGUUGGUAAAGGUAUUUGGCUACGAGUGAGGAGACGCUUAGAAUAACCACCUAGUCAAAAGACAAUUUCUAUUUCAGUUUUAAGUUGGAUUUUGUUAUUUAUUUAAUGAGAAUUGGUUGUAAUAUUUUAUGAGCCACCUUUUAGAUCACUUAGUUAAUUUUGACUUUAAUGGUUUUAAAUAGUUUUGUUGCUUUGCAUUUAUUUUCUAAGGAGAAUAAAUGUAGCAGUGACACUCCCAAGGUUUGGACGAUGA